CCUACGGGGGGCAGCAGUGGGGAAUAUUCACAAUGGGCGCAAGCCUGAUGCAGCCAUGCCGCGUGUGUGAAGAAGGCCUUCGGGUUGUAAAGCACUUUCAGCGGGGAGGAAGGCGGUGAGGUUAAUAACCUCAUCGAUUGACGUUGCCCGCAUAAGAAGCACCGGCUAACUCCGUGCCAGCAGCCGCGGUAAUACGGAGGGUGCAAGCGUUAAUCGGAAUUACUGGGCGUAAAGCGCACGCAGGCGGUCUGUCAAGUCGGAUGUGAAAUCCCCGGGCUCAACCUGGGAACUGCAUUCGAAACUGGCAGGCUAGAGUCUUGUAGAGGGGGGUAGAAUUCCAGGUGUAGCGGUGAAAUGCGUAGAGAUCUGGAGGAAUACCGGUGGCGAAGGCGGCCCCCUGGACAAAGACUGACGCUCAGGUGCGAAAGCGUGGGGAGCAAACAGGAUUAGAUACCCGUGUAGUC
This 464-nucleotide ribosomal RNA is filed under the name uncultured Klebsiella sp. Its description in RNAcentral is "bacterial SSU rRNA". It matches the Rfam family "Bacterial small subunit ribosomal RNA", at positions 338 to 795 of the family's 1533-position model. The record is from RNAcentral. Lineage: Bacteria; Pseudomonadati; Pseudomonadota; Gammaproteobacteria; Enterobacterales; Enterobacteriaceae.